GAGAGCUGAUGUCACAAGUGCUUUGAGCAGAGAGUUUAUAAACUGUGACAGCCUGACAAACCAUCGAACUGCUCAACAGACAGACGAGGACGAAACGUUACACCCAGAAGUCAUCAGAAACACCAUGUAUCACCUGAGAGUGCCUGUGUUUCUCCUGGCGGCGCUUGUGUUGCUCCGCUGCAUCACAGCCGCUCCAAUGUCAGGUACUUCAGUCCCGGCUCCUCCUCCGACGAGCAAGAAAAUGCUCAUCCAGACAAGGCGAGCAGGUCACUGCCUGAGCUAAACUCCGACUUGAUCGUCGACCUGAAGGGAGCACGGUUUCAGAGGGGGCUCACAGCAACGAACAGCCAUCACUUACAGAAGAGAAAGUGCAACCUACCUAGCUGUACAACUCAGAGGUUAGCACAGACGCUGGGCAAAAAAACCACAGACGUGGGCCCGGACUCCAUUGGCAAGAGGGACAUACCUCAGUCUCCUGCCCAGCUGCCAUAGGGUUACUGGCCCAGAGGAGCCACGACUCCUUUGUACUACAAACUGGGAGAACACCCCAGUGACAUAAUGAUCAUGUGUAACGGUGAAUGAAUGAAUAACGACUCUGGUUAUAAAUCAAAUCGUAAGAUGAUUUUUUAAAAUCAUUUUAUGAGCUUCAAAACUACCGUGCCUUUGAUCUAAGCCAUCUGAAUCCACAUUUUCUUCCAGCUUUGUGAAUCUUGUAAAUCACAGCACUAAUGAAAUGAAGAAAAAUUUUGUUUCUCACAAAAAAUUAUUGCAGGAGAUUUCUGUUUCAGCACAAGAUGCCAAUUAAAUCAAUAAAAGUAUUUCUUCCUCAACAGGUUGGGGUAGAAAACACAGUGA
Gambusia affinis (western mosquitofish) is the source of this 855-nucleotide long non-coding RNA. RefSeq lists it as uncharacterized. The transcript has 4 exons. NCBI's taxonomy places the organism in Eukaryota, Metazoa, Chordata, Actinopteri, Cyprinodontiformes, Poeciliidae. The record is from RefSeq and is a predicted model, not a curated record.